GUGCCAGCCGCCGCGGUAAUACGUAGGGGGCGAGCGUUGUCCGGAUUCAUUGGGCGUAAAGCGCGCGCAGGCGGCUGUGCGAGCCCGGCGUGAAAGCCCCCGGCUCAACCGGGGGAGGUCGUCGGGGACCGCACGGCUAGAGGCCGGUAGGGGCGAGCGGAAUUCCCGGUGUAGUGGUGGAAUGCGUAGAGAUCGGGAGGAACACCAGUGGCGAAGGCGGCUCGCUGGGCCGGUCCUGACGCUCAGGCGCGAAAGCGUGGGGAGCGAUCCGGAUUAGAUACCCGCGUAGUCC
Molecule: ribosomal RNA, 292 nt
Filed under: uncultured bacterium
Lineage: Bacteria
Description: partial 16S ribosomal RNA
Rfam family: Bacterial small subunit ribosomal RNA
Source: RNAcentral